UGGUCCCAUCUCUCUUGCCACCCAGCCCACCCCCCAUCCACGCAGACCAGUUGUGCAGGGCCCAAGGUGGCCCUGAUGAUCCAGGGCCAAGGACUUGGUCCUCUGGGGGACUCCAGACCCACUCAGCCCUAGCAGUGGGCCCAUGGCCUCAUCCUCACCUGAAACUGGGUCUUGAGGCAGCAGCACUUGACUUUAAAGCCUGAGAGGCCCACAGACUCUCAGAGUGCCAGAGAUGGGUGAGCCCUUCCAAGCCAAGGAGUCCAACUCGCUCACCUGCCAUUUUGCAAUUUGGGAAACUGAGGCCCAAAGAGGGGAAGGGGCUUGCGUAACACCCCAGUAGGCUGGUGGCAGAGCAAGGACCAGAAUCCAUGUCUCCCGAUCCUCCUGUCCAGGACUCUCUCCUCUGCAGCAAACACCAUCCGCGGACGUCUAGACUGAUGUCAAUUCCUCCUGGACCUGCAAAUCCUCGGCAGAAGGCUCCUCCAGCCCACCCCUGUCUGUGCUGGGCAUGGUAGGAGGAGCUUUCUCCUCAACUGCGUGCUCCUUUCUCCUAAAGCUUCCUGGUGUCCCCUCCCCAUUGAUCUUGGGCUCAUCUUUUCUUGGUUCCAGCAGCUACUCUGUCAACAGAUCAUAACGGCUGCUACCCGCAUCCUACUGGAGUGGAUCAACCAACUCCCUGUAGUUCCAGCAUCCCCAGGGGUGAGGGGUCAUGAUUCUCCCUGCUCUUCGGUGGUCCCUUGGUUGCUCCUAGGGCUUUUCUUCUGUCACUGGCCUAGUCCCAGGCCCACUGCCCUUCCAUGGUGCCCCAGCCUUUAAUCCCAUCAGUCUCUCCCAGGACCUCAUGGGUCAUCCCCUACAGACCCCUCUCGGCUGGGCCCAGGGCCAGGGGAAAUAACAGUAACCCAGGUGUCAUUGGGUUGCGGGAGGAGUGAGCGAGUUAAGGCAUGAUUAGGUAUAUAAGGCACAGGUGAGUGUUGCACCCGUAAACUCUCAUGUUACAAGGUGCAUUAGGUGAUAACAAGGAGACCCUUGAACCUGGAGCCUACGGUGGCCUAGGCACCUGGGGGUAGAAGGGGCAAGAGGGCCAGGGGGACCCUUGGUACUGGGGAGUGAUGGGAGUCACGAGCGUUUUCAGCUGGGGAAGCACACGGUCAGGUUGGCUUCUAGAAAAAUGGCAGGAGGAGCUUGGUCACCGAGCACCUAAAGGGCACACUGGCCUCUGUCCCCAGCCUUGCUGGGCAGUGCAGGCCUGUGCUGCCUCCUGAACCAGCCCAUGCUACCUCUUCAGAGCCUUGUCCAAAGUCACAUCUUCAUAAGGUUAAAAUAACAGUGACUAACAUUCCAUCAUUCAACAUUUGGUGUGCACCUUUUGUGUGCCAGGCAUUGUUCCAAGGGCUUUAAUGAUUUAACUCAUUUAAUUUUCUCAUCAGUCUUUGAUGUAGGUGCUGCUAUUCUCCUCACAUCCCUAUUUGACAGAUAGGUAAACUGAGGCACAUGAGGUUAGCUCACUUGCCCAAUGAGAUGGAGCCAGGACUCUACAUGGGCUUCACAACCUAGAGCCUUCCUCCUGGCCUCUACCCUCUCCUGCCCUCUGAGCCUUAGGCUCCCUCCUACCCACCUGCCUUUCUGCAAAGAACUUACUGGCCUUCUGCACUGAUCCCUCUGCUCAAGACUGAGCCACUUUAUCUCAGUCCUGCCACAGGAGCCAAACCUCCUGGUCAAAGUGGGAAUUAGCUGCACUUAACAGCAGCUGCCACUCUGCACCUUCACACCAUGCAUCUGUUAACAUGGCCUCAGGCUUCCAUGGCUUCUUCUGUGGCUACAUGUCCCUGUGUUGUCUCAUUCACAAUGCUAACUCUGCUCACCCUACCCUACCCACUCAGCACAGCCUAACCUAAUCAGCCAGUCACUUGACACCCGGCAACUCAGCUCAAUCACACCUCCUCCGGGAAGCCAUCCUGGACUCCCAGGCUCAUCCCUCAUUUUGCUCUCCCCAAACACCCUGUAUACCUCCCUCACAGCAGUCGCUGGCUUGAACGAGUUCUCACCAGCCUGGAUGCUCCAUGAGGUUAAGAUCAAGCCUGUAUUUCUAAACCACUGCAGCACCAGUGCCUGACACAGAGGCUGGCACAAACUCAGCCCUCAGAUGGGUGUGCAUGAAUGGAUGACAUACCUGAAGUCCAGGCCUUAUGCUAGAUGCUGAGAUUAUGGAGACCAGAUGUAGAUGCUGGUGGGAAAGACAGACAAGUAAACAGCUGGUGACAAUGCAGGAUGAGAAUUGCACUGAUGAAGAAGCACAGGGGGUGUGGGACAGGGGUGGGGGCAUAGAGGAGGAGCCCUGGACCCAAACGGAAGACCAGAGGGACAAGGAGUUCACCAACUGGAGAGCAGUGGUGGAGAGGACCCUGAAACGGGGCCGAGCUAAUGAAUGAAUGUGCAGAGGGUCCGGCUCCUCCCCAGACCUCCAGCCCCUUGAGGGCAAAAGGCAGGUGUCCUGCAUUCUUGUCUCCCCCCAUGGUGCUUAGAGUAGGGUUGGGUCCCUGCUCUGCAUUCAGAGAGUGGUUUUAGUUGAUGGAUUUUUCCUUCCCUCCUUGGAUGAUGGCGAGGCUGGUCUGACACGCUUCUCUCUGGGUUGCUUAUCUUCUCUUCUCUCAGCCCUGCCUUCAGGCCCUUGACCAGAAAAGCUGCAUCUUUUCCCACCUGAACUACACCCUCCCCCUCCCACCCUCUCCAUGGUUCUGUGCCUCUCACCUCCUCUGCUCAGCCCACUCACCUGGCUCUGACCGUCUCAAUGUGUGGGUGCCAGCGUGUACCCUCUUCACAUGAGAUUUGUUGAUUUCGUAACCAUAAAUAGAUGAAACGAUGUUCUGAAUACUUCCCUGUGCAAGUAGAAUUGGGGGAGUGAUAACAUAAUGAAAAGUCCUUAAGAGAAGGAAAACAGCCUGCUAAGAUGCAGCCUUUGCACCAACCAACUCUACAUGAGGAUUAUAUUUUCACUGUAGAUGGUGGACCCAAGACCCAGGACUGGGGAAGAGGGGGUUACAUGGGAAUCUGUUAGAAAACCUUUACAUGAAGAGGCAUGAGGGGAGUUCCCAUUGUGGCUCAGUGGAAAUGAAUCUGACUAGUAUCCAUGAGGAUGCAGGUUCGAUCCCUGGCCUCGAUCAGUGGGUUAAGGAUCCAGCAUUGCUGUGAGCUGUAGUGUAGGUCACAGAUGCAGCUCAGAUCUGGUGUUGCUGUGGCUGUGGUGUAGGCUGGUGGCUACAGCUCCGAUUCAACCCCUAGCCUGGGAACCUCCAUAUGCCAUGGGUC
Molecule: long non-coding RNA, 3309 nt
Filed under: Sus scrofa (pig)
Lineage: Eukaryota; Metazoa; Chordata; Mammalia; Artiodactyla; Suidae
Description: lncRNA (ENSSSCG00065024813.1)
Source: RNAcentral